CCAGAGAACUUAGCAGAGAUGCUUUGGUGCCUUCGGGGAACUCUGAGACAGGUGCUGCAUGGCUGUCGUCAGCUCGUGUUGUGAAAUGUUGGGUUAAGUCCCGCAACGAGCGCAACCCUUAUCCUUUGUUGCCAGCGGUCCGGCCGGGAACUCAAAGGAGACUGCCAGUGAUAAACUGGAGGAAGGUGGGGAUGACGUCAAGUCAUCAUGGCCCUUACGAGUAGGGCUACACACGUGCUACAAUGGCGCAUACAAAGAGAAGCGACCUCGCGAGAGCAAGCGGACCUCAUAAAGUGCGUCGUAGUCCGGAUUGGAGUCUGCAACUCGACUCCAUGAAGUCGGAAUCGCUAGUAAUCGUAGAUCAGAAUGCUACGGUGAAUACGUUCCCGGGCCUUGUACACACCGCCCGUCACACCAUGGGAGUGGGUUGCAAAAGAAGUAGGUAGCUUAACCUUCGGGAGGGCGCUUACCACUUUGUGAUUCAUGACUGGGGUGAAGUCGUAACAAGGUAAGCGUACGUGU
RNAcentral lists this ribosomal RNA (522 nucleotides) under uncultured bacterium. RNAcentral's name for it is "bacterial SSU rRNA". It matches the Rfam family "Bacterial small subunit ribosomal RNA", at positions 988 to 1509 of the family's 1533-position model. The record is from RNAcentral.